UGGGUCAGUUGGCAGAUCGUCAGAUUAAAAAUCAGAAGGUCUUCAGUUCAAUUCCCG
Molecule: transfer RNA, 57 nt
Filed under: Phaeocystis antarctica
Lineage: Eukaryota; Haptophyta; Phaeocystales; Phaeocystaceae
Source: RNAcentral